CCUACGGGUGGCAGCAGUGAGGAAUAUUGGUCAAUGGGCGCGAGCCUGAACCAGCCAAGUCGCGUGAGUGAAGACGGUCCUAUGGAUUGUAAACCUCUUAUGUCGGGGAGCAAAAGACGCCACGCGUGGCGGUACGAGAGUACCCGAAGAAAAAGCAACGGCUAACUCCGUGCCAGCAGCCGCGGUAAUAGGGAGGAGGCGAUGGUUAUCCGGAUUUAUUGGGUUUAUAGGGUGCGGAGGCGGAAGAUCAAGUCAGCGGUAAAAUUGAGAGGCUCAACCUCUUUGAGCCGUUGAAACUGGUUUACUUGAGUGAGUGAGAAGUAUGCGGAAUGCGUGGUGUAGCGGUGAAAUGCAUAGAUAUCACGCAGAACUC
Molecule: ribosomal RNA, 373 nt
Filed under: uncultured bacterium
Lineage: Bacteria
Description: partial 16S ribosomal RNA
Rfam family: Bacterial small subunit ribosomal RNA
Source: RNAcentral